This is a long non-coding RNA of Cynoglossus semilaevis (tongue sole), 221 nucleotides long. RefSeq lists it as uncharacterized. The record is from RefSeq and is a predicted model, not a curated record. Lineage: Eukaryota; Metazoa; Chordata; Actinopteri; Pleuronectiformes; Cynoglossidae. The transcript is spliced from 3 exons.
CAGGGGACGACAGAACCCGUCUCCCGUCUGGUCACCAGCAUGGAUGGCCUGUCAAUCAAAACCACUCUGCACAAAUCCUGCAGCAUGGACGAGAGCAAAAAAGAAAAAAGCAGCCUGAGCCAAGGAGACAGACUGAGAGAACUGAAAGGAAAGAGAUCAGUGUUGUCGUCUUCAGGACUAAACCUGUCGACGACGUCACACACUCCCGCCCGCGUUCCCUU